Molecule: ribosomal RNA, 484 nt
Filed under: uncultured bacterium
Lineage: Bacteria
Description: partial 16S ribosomal RNA
Rfam family: Bacterial small subunit ribosomal RNA
Source: RNAcentral
AUUGAACGCUGGCGGCAGGCCUAACACAUGCAAGUCGAGCGGAUGAAGGGAGCUUGCUCCUGGAUUCAGCGGCGGACGGGUGAGUAAUGCAUAGGAAUCUGCCUGGUAGUGGGGGAUAACGUCCGGAAACGGGCGCUAAUACAGCAUACGGCCUGAGGGAGAAAGUGGGGGAUCUUCGGACAUCACGCUAUCAGAUGAGCCUAGGUCGGAUUAGCUAGUUGGUGGGGUAAAGGCCUACCAAGGCGACGAUCCGUAACUGAUCUGAGAGGAUGAUCAGUCACACUGGAACUGAGACACGGUCCAGACUCCUACGGGAGGCAGCAGUGGGGAAUAUUGGACAAUGGGCGAAAGCCUGAUCCAGCCAUGCCGCGUGUGUGAAGAAGGUCUUCGGAUUGUAAAGCACUUUAAGUUGGGAGGAAGGGCAGUAAGUUAAUACCUUGCUGUUUUGACGUUACCAACAGAAUAAGCACCGGCUAACUUCGUG